Molecule: long non-coding RNA, 1221 nt
Organism: Solenopsis invicta (red fire ant)
Lineage: Eukaryota; Metazoa; Arthropoda; Insecta; Hymenoptera; Formicidae
Exons: 3
Source: RefSeq, a predicted model, not a curated record
UAUUGUAUGAUGCGUAUGAAUAUCACGUCAACGAGUUUUUCAUGAUCUCCAGCAUCGUUGUGAUCGUUCUAGGAUUAUUGGAGCGUGAUUCGCAGCUAGGAGUGAGAAAGCGUAAGUAGACCAUGUCAAUACACAGACAUGAGCACGUGCAUGAAUUCACAUUAUACCAUGAUGACCGCAGCUUUACAGAUUAGUAAGAUAAUAGAUACUAAUUCUGCAGCUCCAAGAGAUGUAGUUUCGUGCAAACAACACCUUGAAGGCUGAUGUAAACUGUUAACUGCGAUCGUUACAGAUUUCGUUUAAGAAAGCCUAGCUCUAGCUUCAGCUUUAUAUCAAACAUAUGUUAUGGUCAGUCAACUGCUCGGGAUGUGGCAAAGAGAAGUGAUAUGAUGCGACGAUACGGUCAUCUCUUCAAAGAUCGGAUCCAAUCUUCUCGGAUAUUGACUGCGCUAUAUCAUACCCCGUGCUAUUCUUCGCUCCCUCCUUCUGACCGCCAAUAGAAGCAGCACGGUAACAUCGAUGGAAACUCCGGUAUUCAACCCCUACUGCCAUACCACUACCCCUUCCGUCAUACCCGCUGCUUCUCAUUUCCCCGCCUUUUCUUCUCUGUCUACCUCGUUCCUUCUCCCAUAACUUCAACAAUUCCAAUAGUCGUUAAUCUGUCGGAAACUUUCGGAAAACUUGCCGUUAUUGCAGGUAGAUGGGCGGGACCGUACGAGUUGGAUGAGAGAAGAGAAGAGAAGAGAAGAGAAGAGAAGAGAAGAGAAGAGAAGAGAGUGAGAGAUGAGGGAAACGUCGGAGACGGAGGAAAAGAGGAAGAGACGCAGUAGGGAAUUCGAGUCUGACUGUAUAAGGAGGAGGGUGGUUCGGGAGGGUGGCUCAGGGUGCCUACCCCCAGAUGGGUGUUACAGGGGUGCAGGGUGAAAACGCUCAGCAGAAAACACUGUGAAAACAAGCUAAAAUUGAGAUUCUGUGGUAGUGCUGCAAUGGCGAAGUGACCUUGGUAGUCAGGAAUCCGGUCUGACAACAUGGAUCGACACAACCCACUGGCGUAAGAAUCCCUUCGUCCAUCCAUCUAUGCACUUAUUCGUCUGCGAUGUCGUGGACCUCACAAUCGAUAUGUGUUGAAAAAUAAAUAUUCUACGUCCCAAUUAAAUGUAUUCCAAACUGAGCGAACCUUUAUUUAAGUUCUUUGAAAUCACACAUAUGAAAAGAUUUUAG